Molecule: RNA transcript, 3715 nt
Organism: Pistacia vera
Lineage: Eukaryota; Viridiplantae; Streptophyta; Magnoliopsida; Sapindales; Anacardiaceae
Gene name: probable LRR receptor-like serine/threonine-protein kinase At1g56140
Exons: 3
Source: RefSeq, a predicted model, not a curated record
UUCAUACAACAAUUCAACUUCACUACUUCACAAACACAAAAUCCUACAGUUUUCUCUUCUUUCAAAGAUAUGGCAGAAAUAAUCGUCUCUGUUAUUGCUGAGAAACUCUUGGAUAAGCUAUCAUCCCUUGCUUCCAAUGAAAUGGGUUUGGCAUGGGGUGUCCAAAAAGAUGCACAAGAGCUUGUUGACACCUUAACCACUAUCAAAGCUGUUCUCUUAGAUGCUGAGGACAAGCAGACCCAUAAUGAGAAGCUCAAAGUUUGGCUGGGAAAGCUUAAGGGGAUCUGCUAUGAUGCUUAAGAUUUUUUAGACGUGAUUUAGGUGGAAGGUUUGCGUAAACAAGUGGUAAAUAGUCAAAGCUGUACAAGAAAGGUACGCCACUUUUUUUCAUCCUCAAAUCCAAUUGCUUUCCGUUUUACGUUGGGGCAUAAAAUUAAGGAGAUUAAAAAGAGGUUAGCAAAAAUAGCAGUUAUUAAAAAUAGUUUUAAUCUCACUGAGAAAGUUGAUAGCAAUCAAGUUAUAGGUUGGGAGAGGGAGAGGGAGAGGGAAACUCACUCAUUUGUGCGUGCUUCAGAUGUUAUUGGUAGGGAUAAAGAUAAAGAGAAGAUUAUGAAAUUACUGUUACGUCCAAGUCAUGGCCAUGAAAAUGUUUCUGUCAUUCCUAUUGUUGGAAUAGGAGGCCUAGGAAAAACCGCACUUGGCAAAUUGGUGUACAAUGAUAAAAUAGUGGGUGAAUAUUUUAAGUUGAAAAUAUGGGUAUGUGUGUCAGAUGAGUUUGUUUUGAAAAAACUAUUAAUUGACAUCAUCGAAUCUGUAACUCAGAAAAAAUAUGUUGACAAGAGUAUUGACCAAUUGCAAAAUAUCCUACGUGAUAUCUUAAGCCAUGAAAAAUAUUUGUUAGUUUUGGAUGAUGUUUGGAAUGAAGAUUAUGGGUUGUGGUUUGAAUUAAAAAAUUUAUUGAGGGAAUGUGUUAGUGGAAGUAAAAUUAUCGUAACUACACGCAGUGAUCGUGUUGCCUCAAUUAUGGGCACUGUACCUACAUACAGGUUAGAAGGUCUUUCUCUUGAUGAUUGUUUGUCAGUGUUUGUUAAAUGUGCUUUUAAAGAAGGGAGAGAAAAGCAACAUCCCAACCUUGUGGAAAUUGGAAUAGAAAUUGUAAAAAAAUGUAGAGGUGUUCCAUUGGCAGUAAGAGCGUUAGGAAGUCUACUUUAUUCCUCAACUUCUGAACAAGAUUGGAAAAAUUUGAGGGAUAAUGAGAUUUGGAAGUUGGAUCAAAAAGAAAAUAACAUUUUAAAUGCGCUAAGAAUAAGUUAUAAUCAUCUGCCAUCUUACUUAAAGCAAUGUUUUGUUUAUUGUUCUAUUUUUCCAAAAGACAUUGAAUUUACUAGUCUUCAUUUGGUUCAAUUUUGGAUGGACCAUGGGCUUCUUCAAUCGCACAAUGAAAAUGAAGAUUUGGAAAAUAUUGGUAAACAAUACGUAAAAGAAUUGAUUUCGAGAUCUUUUUUCCAAGAUAUUGUACAACUGCAUGAGAGUUUGUACACGUUUAAAAUUCAUGAUCUCAUGCACGAUCUUGCCACAUCAUUGAUGAGAAAUGAGUGCUUAAUAGUGAAAUCUGCUAACCAAAUUUGUACCAAAAGUCAUCGACACGUAUCAUUUUAUUUUGUUGAUGCACCUAUAAUAGAUGUUCCAAACAUUUUCCCUAACUUGGGUCAUCUGAGAAGCAUUACUUUUUAUCCGAUUUCUGGUGAAAGUACUGGUAUUAGCCAAUCAUUUUUGGAAUUAAUCGUCUCAAGGUGUAAAUUCUUGCGGAUGUUAAAUUUAUUUUCUUCAAAUAUUGACCUAGUGCCUAAAAAAAUUGGUAAUUUGAAGCAUCUAAGAUUUCUUGAUCUAGGGAGCAACCCUAAAAUAAAAGAACUCCCAAGUUCCAUUUACAAGCUACAAAAUUUGCAAUUUCUAUCACUAUUGGGUUGUGAGGAAUUAAAAGCGUUAACAAGAGAUGUAAAGUACUUAAUUAGUCUUAGACAUCUCGCAUUAACUACGAUACAAACGCAUCUACCAACCAAUGGUAUUGGUUGCUUGAAUUCUCUUCGACGUUUGUGGAUUUGCAAUUGCAAUAAUUUAGAAUAUUUGUUUGAAGAUAUUGGUCACCUAAGAGUUCUUCGAACUCUAAGCGUUUCUGAAUGUCCAAGACUUAUCUCAUUACCACGUGGUGUGAGAAGCCUAAGCUCAUUAGAAAAUCUUCUUUUGAUAAGUUGUGAAAGGCUUAAUCUUGAUUUGAGCAUAGGAUCGGAUAAGCAAGACAAUCAUGAUGAACUCAGUAGCACAUGGCCUCACCUUCGAUUUCUUUGUAUAAGAGAAUUACCACAAUUGGUGGAAUUUCCGCAAUGGCUUAUUCAGUGUUCCAUUAGCAGUUUGGAAAGGUUGCAAAUUGUAAAUUGUUCCAACUUGAAGGCACUACCAGAGUCGAUGUAAAAACUUCAAGUUCUUGUUAUUGAGAAGUGUCCAGAAUUGUCAUCUUUACCCAAGGAUAUGGAUCGUCUCAUCUCUUUGAGAGAACUAGCAAUUGAAGACAGUCCUAAGCUGAGCGAAAGAUAUGAACCAGAAACAGGUGAAGAUUGGUCCAAGAUUUCUCAUAUCCCCUACAUUCAACUCGAUGGCAAGGUCAUCAAAUCGACAGAAAUUUAGAUUCAAGGUUAGCAAUCAAGUGUGGUGGUGUGGUAAACAGUUGAGAGUUGGCAAUAUAGUGUAUGAAGCGGACGAUGGUGGAGCUUCUUUUAAUGUGUUAAAUCCUGAAGAGCAACUACAGAGAAAUUUAAUGCUAUGGUAACUGAGAACUAUCUUGAAAUUCACCUAUUUUGGGCUGGUAAAGGGACCUGCUGCAUCCCUACUGGAGGUAGCUUGGGCCAUUAAUUUCAGCUCUUAGUGUCAUUCCAGGUGAAGUAUGUGAUUACUUUGACUCUUCAUUUAAGAUGAGUUACAAUAUAUGUGCUUCUAUACUUCAUUCUGAUAUACAAUAACUGAAUUUUCCUACUUAGAUUUCAUACCAACUGUUGGUAUUGCACGAAAGAAAAACCAGGCUUGGCUGAUUGUUGGUAUUGCCAUGGCUCUCGGAAGUUUGGGCUUGAUACUGAUAUUUUUAAUUUUUUACAUGAACAUAAAAAGAGGCAAUGAUGAUGCAGAAGGUAAAAUCUGUGAAACCAAUUUUUUUUGGAAAACAAUGAAUUUAGUUUUACUUUAGCAUCCCACAAUAUAGGUGAAGCGUGAACUUUUUUCUAGUUCACUUAAGAACAUAGAUACUAGAUUUAAAAUAACUAUUUGUUAUAAAGGUCAUGAUAUUUGAGCUCUUGCUUCCAAAAUUUGGAAUAGGAUAUUCCGAGAAACAGGCAAAGCUGCUGGUGUAAUUCAUCUCUUAUCAUGCAAAGCCAUCCAUGUUAUGUAAUCUUUUAUCUUGCUUCAAUAUGCAGUGUUACUUGGAAUAGGUCCUAAACCAAAAAUUUUCGGUUAUGCUGAGUUGAAAUCUGCAACAAAAGACUUCAACCCUCCAAAUAAGCUAGGCGAGGGAGGAUUUGGACCUGUGUACAAGGAAAAAGGGAUUUGCAUCUUGAUUGGCCUACCCGGUUCAAUAUAUGCCUGGGAAUUGCGAGAGGUCUAGCAUAUCUUCACGAGGAUUCAAGGCCAAAGAUUGUACAUCGAGAUGUCAAAGCAAGUAAUAUUU